RNAcentral lists this ribosomal RNA (98 nucleotides) under Beta vulgaris subsp. vulgaris (sugar beet). Lineage: Eukaryota; Viridiplantae; Streptophyta; Magnoliopsida; Caryophyllales; Amaranthaceae. The record is from RNAcentral.
GGGUGUAAUAAUACCAGGUCUAAUGCGCAGUACAACUUGCUUGGGCGAGAGUAGUACUAGGAUGGGUGUCCUCCUAGGAAGUCCUCGUAUUGCACCCC